RNAcentral lists this small nuclear RNA (164 nucleotides) under Saimiri boliviensis boliviensis (Bolivian squirrel monkey). RNAcentral's name for it is "U1 spliceosomal RNA (ENSSBOG00000010935.1)". It matches the Rfam family "U1 spliceosomal RNA". Rfam says of the family: U1 is a small nuclear RNA (snRNA) component of the spliceosome (involved in pre-mRNA splicing). Its 5' end forms complementary base pairs with the 5' splice junction, thus defining the 5' donor site of an intron. Lineage: Eukaryota; Metazoa; Chordata; Mammalia; Primates; Cebidae. The record is from Rfam by way of RNAcentral.
AUGCUUAUCUGGCAGGUGAGACAGCAAGAUCACGAAGGUGGUUUUCCCAGGGCAAGGCUUAUCCAUUGCACUCUGGAUGUGCUGACCCCUGCGAUUUCCCCAAAUGUGAGAAACUCGACUGCGUAAUUUGUGGUAGUGGGGGACUGCAUUUGUGCUUUCCCCUA